RNAcentral lists this long non-coding RNA (346 nucleotides) under Phaseolus vulgaris (common bean). RNAcentral's name for it is "long non-coding RNA (PVUL_LNC003957)". The record is from RNAcentral. Lineage: Eukaryota; Viridiplantae; Streptophyta; Magnoliopsida; Fabales; Fabaceae.
GCUUUCACUCUCGUCCUUCUCUCUGCCUCACACUCACACUCACACUCAGUCUAACUCUAACGCUUUCGCUCUCUGCCUCACACAAACCCUAGCAAUGUCUGCCUCACACAAACCCUAGCAAUGUCUUCCUCACACGAACCCUAGUGCUCGCUGCUUCCACACGAACCUAGCGCUCUCUGCCUCACACGAACCCUAGCGUUUGCUGCUUCCACACGAACCCUAGCGAUGUCUGCCUCACACGAACCCUAGCACUCUCUGCCUCCAUACGAACCCUAACGCUCUCUGCCUCACAAAACCCUACUCUCUCUGCCUCUCUCUGCCUCUACACGGAACCGAUUUGAAGGUA